Molecule: ribosomal RNA, 738 nt
Filed under: Candidatus Phytoplasma vitis
Lineage: Bacteria; Bacillati; Mycoplasmatota; Mollicutes; Acholeplasmatales; Acholeplasmataceae
Description: bacterial SSU rRNA
Rfam family: Bacterial small subunit ribosomal RNA
Source: RNAcentral
UAGUCCACGCUGUAAACGAUGAGUACUAAGUGUCGGGGUAACUCGGUACUGAAGUUAACACAUUAAGUACUCCGCCUGAGUAGUACGUACGCAAGUAUGAAACUUAAAGGAAUUGACGGGACUCCGCACAAGCGGUGGAUCAUGUUGUUUAAUUCGAAGAUACACGAAAAACCUUAUCAGGUCUUGACAUACUCUGCAAAGCUAUAGAAAUAUAGUGGAGGUUAUCAGGGAUACAGGUGGUGCAUGGUUGUCGUCAGUUCGUGUCGUGAGAUGUUAGGUUAAGUCCUAAAACGAACGCAACCCCUGUCGCUAGUUGCCAGCACGUAAUGGUGGGGACUUUAGCGAGACUGCCAAUUAAACAUUGGAGGAAGGUGGGGAUAACGUCAAAUCAUCAUGCCCCUUAUGAUCUGGGCUACAAACGUGAUACAAUGGCUAUUACAAAGAGUAGCUGAAACGCGAGUUUUUAGCCAAUCUCAAAAAGGUAGUCUCAGUACGGAUUGAAGUCUGCAACUCGACUUCAUGAAGCUGGAAUCGCUAGUAAUCGCGAAUCAGCAUGUCGCGGUGAAUACGUUCUCGGGGUUUGUACACACCGCCCGUCAAACCACGAAAGUUAGCAAUACCCGAAAGCAGUGGCUUAACUUCGCAAGAAGAGGGAGCUGUCUAAGGUAGGGUUGAUGAUUGGGGUUAAGUCGUAACAAGGUAUCCUUACCGGAAGGUGAGGAUGGAUCACCUCCUUUC